This is a non-coding RNA of Cottoperca gobio, 483 nucleotides long. Lineage: Eukaryota; Metazoa; Chordata; Actinopteri; Perciformes; Bovichtidae. The record is from the annotation of a RefSeq genome assembly.
UUUGCAUCGUCAGCUGAUCCUCCAGUGAACUGAGAAGGUUUAUAGUCCUGUGAGUUCAACACUGCAGGACUCAGAUCUGUCAGUCAACACAGCAGAAACCACAAGCACCAUGACUCUCAUCACCAUCCUCAUCUGGACGCUGGCCUGCUGCUGUUUUACAGGAUGCAGCGGUCAGGUGACUGUGACUCAGCCUGCAGCAGUGACAUCUACUCCAGGAUCCUCUGUCUCUCUGUCCUGUAAAACCAGCCAACCUGUUUACAUUAUGUCUGAUGGCGAUCAGGAUAUGUCCUGGUACCAACAGAAAUCUGGACAAACUCCAAAGCUUCUAAUAAGAUAUGUGAGCACACGUGAAUCAGGAACACCAGCUCGGUUUAGUGGCAGUGGAAGCAGCUCUGACUUCACUUUGACCAUCAGUGGAGUUCAGACUGAAGAUGCAGCAGUUUAUUACUGUCAGAGUUUCCACUCAUAAGCAGUGGUAUGUGU